This 73-nucleotide transfer RNA is filed under the name Desmophyllum pertusum. RNAcentral describes it as "Lophelia pertusa tRNA". It matches the Rfam family "tRNA". Rfam says of the family: Transfer RNA (tRNA) molecules are approximately 80 nucleotides in length. Their secondary structure includes four short double-helical elements and three loops (D, anti-codon, and T loops). Further hydrogen bonds mediate the characteristic L-shaped molecular structure. tRNAs have two regions of fundamental functional importance: the anti-codon, which is responsible for specific mRNA codon recognition, and the 3' end, to which the tRNAs corresponding amino acid is attached (by aminoacyl-tRNA synthetases). tRNAs cope with the degeneracy of the genetic code in two manners: having more than one tRNA (with a specific anti-codon) for a particular amino acid; and 'wobble' base-pairing, i.e. permitting non-standard base-pairing at the 3rd anti-codon position. The record is from Rfam by way of RNAcentral. Lineage: Eukaryota; Metazoa; Cnidaria; Anthozoa; Scleractinia; Caryophylliidae.
GGCUUCAUAGCUCAGUUGGUAGAGCAUCGAACUAGUAACGCGGAGGUCAUGGGUUCAAAUCCCGUUGAAUCCA